This 21-nucleotide unclassified non-coding RNA is filed under the name Mus musculus (house mouse). RNAcentral's name for it is "oocyte_clustered_small_RNA1214". The record is from RNAcentral. Lineage: Eukaryota; Metazoa; Chordata; Mammalia; Rodentia; Muridae.
AUAAGUGACCAUAGGAGUGUG